Non-coding RNA from Phrynosoma platyrhinos (Desert horned lizard), 72 nucleotides. The record is from the annotation of a GenBank genome assembly. Lineage: Eukaryota; Metazoa; Chordata; Lepidosauria; Squamata; Phrynosomatidae.
GCCAGUGUGGUGUAGUGGUUUAAGCAUUGGACUAGGAUUCUGAAGCCCAAGGUUUGAAUCCUUGCUUGGCCA